GAAAGUACGAAGUAGUCACAACCAUUAUUUGUAUUGCAACACUGUGUUCUCUAUUCCCUUUUGUGUAUAUUAGUUUUUACUAUUCCUUUUUGAUAUUUCAUUCUUUAUUGUAUUCGCUAUUACAUUGUACUCAUAUUCAAAUUUACCAGUCAGUCUGGAAUAAACUACAAAUGAAUUAACAACAGGUUAUGGGCCCAGGCUCCGUUUUCAAGAAGACGCGUAAAGAAUUAAAUCGAUUUUUAAUUGCGAAGAGUACGGUUAUGAAAAAUAAAUAUGUCGGGCAACGUAAUACGGAUUGAGCCUUUAAAUUCCCAGAAUUACGAUACAUGGAAAUUGCAAAUUCGUGCAAUUCUUAUAAAAAAUGACUUGUGGGCAUAUGUCAGUGGCGCAUCACAAUGCCCGUUAGCUGAAGCUGCCGAAAUCGAGAAAUGGAAGAUCGCCGACCAGAAAGCUAGCGCGGAUAUUUUGUUAUCAAUGGCACCAUCGGAAUUGGGGCUCAUAUCCGAGUGUAAAACAUCUAGGGAUAUAUGGCUGAAAUUGGAGUCCACAUUCCAGUCGAAGGGGCCUGCCAGGAAGGCAACGUUACUAAAGCGUGUUGCUUUGGCACGUAUGAAGGAGGGUGAGAGUGCUCGCGAUCAUAUGAACGAAUUCUUCGACGCAGUGACCAAACUCAAAGAAAUCAAUGUAACCAUCGGAGAUGAUUUACUGGCCAUUUUGCUUCUGUACAGCUUGCCAGACUCGUUCGAGACAUUUCGAUGUGCAUUGGAGACAAGGGAUGCACUGCCAACGCCCGAUGUGUUGAGAGUGAAAAUACUCGAAGAGGACCAAUCACGUAAAGCAAAAACAGAACGAGAUGAGCAAAAUGCAAUGUAUGUAAGGCCAAAGAAAAACAACGUCAACGGAAAAUUUGAAAGAGUGGCGAGAGAGGAUAAAGUCGAAAAUGCAAAGGCACAAAAGCAAAGGCAAAAACAGGGUUGUUUCAAAUGUGGAAGAUUUGGGCAUUAUGCCAGAAACUGCAGAUCAAACGCAAACCAUGCUGAGGAGAGCGAGGGCAGAAAAGAGAAGUCGCUGUUUAAUUGUGUUGAUGUGACAUUAAAUUGUUUUGACAUCUCUAGCGAAUGGUGUUUGGAUAGCGGCUGCACCUCUCAUAUGAGCGCAUACAAAGAAGGGUUUGUUAAAAUGAAAAGCAUAAGGAAAAGCUUAUGUUUGGCAAACGGUGAGAUGAGCGAAAUAUCUGGUAUUGGUGACGUCAAAAUAAAAGUUGCUAACAAAGGGCAAAUGCAACCUUUUAUAAUAAGAGACGUAAUGUAUGUUAAAGAUUUACGCACCAAUUUGCUGUCCAUCUCAAAACUGACGAAUAAGGGAUACCAGGUGCACUUCCAUAGGGAUGAAGCCUUUAUAAUGGACGGUAAAAAUGAAGUUUGCAGAGCAACUCGUAAAGGUAAUCUUUACUUUAUAAACUCGAUUGACUCUGUUAAUUCAGCUGAAGAGAAAAUAGGUGAGAUCGACCUGUGGCACCAGAAAUUAGGCCAUCUUAAUGAACAUGAUUUGAAAUUGCUUGCCGAUACUAAGGGCGCACAUGGGAUUGAAAUCAAGAAAGGCCAACGAUUGUCAACAUGUGCGGUGUGCUUGAGUGAGAAACAGACACGAAAUAGUUUCAGCAGUCGAGGUGAUAAUCGUACCAGUGAAUUAUUGGAAGUGGUUCAUAGUGAUGUCUGUGGCCCCAUGAGAGUUAAUUCACAUUCGAACGCAAGGUACUUUGUCACUUUCAUCGACGACUAUUCUCGAUACUGUGAAGUCCAUUUCUUGAAGCAGAAAUCUGACGUGCUGGGUGCUUUUAAGAAAUUUAAGAGUUCAUCGGAACUAUUAACUGGCAAAAAGAUUAAAUUUCUCCAAUCGGAUAACGGCACCGAAUAUCUAAAUAAAGAAUUCGAUGAUUACCUGGAAAAGGCCGGCAUUAGACGAAGGUUGACGGCACCUCAUACGCCGCAACAAAAUGGCGUGUCGGAGAGGAAAAACCGGACGUUGCUAGAGAUGGCUAGGUGCAUGAUGAAACAGGCAGGAGUACCUCCGGUAUUUUGGGCGGAGGCCGUAAACACCGCUAAUUAUUUAAGAAAUCGAUGUCCCACUAGAUCAUUGAAUGGAAAAUUACCAAUAAAAAUUUGGACAGGUAAGACUCCAUCGAUUAAACACUUGAGAACUUUUGGCACCCGGGCAUACGUUUUGAUCAAGGAUAAGACGAAUGGGAAAUUGGAUUCGCGUUCUGAUGAAUGUAUUUUGGUGGGUUACUCUGAAGAGGCGAAAGCAUAUCGUUUGUGGUCGCCAAAGAAACGUCAUGUAAUUAUUAGCCGUGACGUCAAGUUUACAGAAGACUUUUAUGGAGAAGCGUUUGAGCCAAUAAUCAGAGAAGACUUGGAGCCACAAUACGAGUAUGAAAUGCCAAUAGGAGAACAGGAGUACCCGGAACAGCGAGAACGACAGUCCCAGACAUCAUCUCAAAACGCGAAUGAUACAUUUCAGACCCAGAACACAAAUGCUGACGCCAUAGAGGAUAGUGAAGAGGACAUGGAUGAUUUCGAGGGGUUUGAAGAUUGCGAAUUCAUUAAUGCCGUUUUUAACGACGAACCUACUACCUGUGGCGAGGCGAUGAAUUCCCCAGAUGGUCUCAAAUGGCGACUGGCAAUUGAAGACGAAUUUUUAGCACAGAUAUUAAAUGGUACUUGGGAAAUUACCGAACAACCAGAUGACAAGAAGGUGAUUGCCAAUAGAUUCGUUUUUCGCACUAAAAUGGACGAUAAGAAGAAAGCUCGUCUAGUCGCAAAAGGGUGCUCCCAACGGCCAGGGGAGGAUUUUUCGGACACCUACUCACCCGUCGUUCGAUCGUCGACCAUUCGACUAAUGUCUGCUGUAGCUGUCGAAAAUGACCUGGAAAUCCAUCAGAUGGAUUUUGUGACAGCAUACCUGAAUGGAGAUCUUAAGGAAAGAGUCUUCAUGCAUGUACCUGAUUAUUUGGAGGAAGUCUUGCACAAAUUGUCACGAGGAGAAACGGUUGGAACAAGCAAGGAGAAGAAUCAGAAAGCCGUUGAAAUUGCGGAAGCGUGGCUCAGGAAUUUGAAGAAAUAUAAAAAUCCAGUAUGCAGACUCGUCAAGGCAAUAUAUGGUCUACGACAAUCAGGCCUACUGUGGUACCAGAAACUGAGUCACAGAUUACAACAACUUGGAUUAAUACCAUCGAAACAGGACCCUUGCUUAUUCAUAAACAGGAAAGGUGAGAAGAUCACGCUAGUCACUGUUUACGUUGAUGAUUUAUUAAUAGCCACGGACGAUAAGGAACAGCUAUGCCACAUAAAGAAGUCUUUGGCAGAAUCCUUUGAGAUGAAGGACCUUGGGAGGGUCAGCAGAUGUUUGGGCAUAGAAUUUGACCAGGAUUUGGAGAAUGGUCAAAUGUCAUUAAAGCAGAAGGAAUAUACCGAAUCCGUUCUUGCACGUUUCAACAUGCAAAAUUGCAAACCGGUUGUGACACCUUUAGAACAACAAUGUAAAUUGGAUAAGCCUUUAGAACCUGAUGCGACAAUAAUGCGAAAACAUCCCUACCAAAGCUUGAUCGGUGCCCUUAUGUAUUUAGCAGUCAGCACUCGGCCUGAUAUAGCGUACGCCGUAAAUUUCUUAAGCCAGUUUAAUUCGAAUUACAAUACUGAACAUUGGAAGGCCGCCAAGAGGGUAUUACGCUAUCUUAAAGGGACGAUCGAUCAUGGACUAAAGUAUACCAAAAGCAACAUUCAAUUGUAUGCGGUUGUGGACGCUGAUUGGGGUUCCAAUCUCUCCGAUAGACGCUCCUACUCAGGAUUUGCCUUCAUAAUGUCUUCCGGAGCAAUCAGUUGGGAAGCUCGAAAACAGAGGACCGUGGCUUUAUCGAGCACAGAAGCAGAGCUCCUUGCUAUUACAGAGGCUUCAAAGGAGGCCUUGUAUCUUCGACGAAUCUUUGAGGAAAUCAGACUGCCGAAAAACUGCAUUACGAUCUUCAACGACAGUCAGAGUGCCCAGAAAUUGAUACAAAGCGUCGGAUACCACUCUCGUACCAAGCAUAUCGACGUCCGACAUCAGUUUUUGCAACAGUACCGAAAUUCUGGUUAUAUUAAAUUGGAGUACAAGAGGACCGAAGAUAUGACAGCUGACGUACUCACGAAGGGCCUUGGUUCCAGUAAGCAUCAACAACAUAUUCGAGAACUGGGCGUGGCCGAGAUUCUAUAGAGGACGUCCUACUUCGAGGGGAGGUGUUGGAAAGUACGAAGUAGUCACAACCAUUAUUUGUAUUGCAACACUGUGUUCUCUAUUCCCUUUUGUGUAUAUUAGUUUUUACUAUUCCUUUUUGAUAUUUCAUUCUUUAUUGUAUUCGCUAUUACAUUGUACUCAUAUUCAAAUUUACCAGUCAGUCUGGAAUAAACUACAAAUGAAUUAACAACACUAAGUUUAUUGACGGCAGUCCUCCGAGAAGCCGUUUAUCUUUUAACACUCGCGAUCUUACCGUCUUGGUUGUUAUUGACCUGAUGACCAGUUUCCUGUCCUCAAAGAUGUUCAAAGAUUCGACGUCCUCGCAUUAACACCACUGUAAAGGAAAUGAAAGAACAAGGUGCGACCAAAAUAUAUAAAUAAUCUCUUCUAGCGAAGACGCUAAAUCUUGCAGCCGGUUGUACGUACCGGAUUGGCCCGAUAAAGUUCUUCAUCGGCAAAGGCUGCCGCCUCAGUAAAUAACACACUGCUACAACAACAACAACACCAAAUCUAGUAUGCCUAUAGGCACUUUGGCCUCAACAUGCUAUUUUAUAGACUUUUAAGGACAGUAGUAGUGGUUCAAGUAAAAUACUAUACACCAAAUGAAAUCUUAUGCAGUGCAAAAAAGUCAACGUUUGGGACACAAAAAUAAGAGAUGCAAAGAUGUUUCCACGUACCAAGAGUUUCUGUCAGAAAAAAUGCACGAAAACAUUGCGCACAAACUGCAUUGGCCCACAUAGUUCCUCUGUUGGAAGCGGAAGAGUACUGCAGCAUGGCAAAAGCUACGUUUUUACAGAAAACACCACAACAAAAUCAACUCCAACCCUAAAUAAACUGACAUUUUUCCCAAUCUCCCAUCCCCCAGCAACAAAACAAUAUCCACGAAUCCCAAUACAAAAAACAAAUUCAACUUCCAACAAGACAACGAAAAAUUUAUAAACGAAAAACAAAAUUUGGAUCGUGAGAUGACAAGGCUAUUACUGAAAGGAAGUAGGAAGGAGAUGGCCAUUCGGAGUUGUUUUAUAUUUCUGAAAAAUACUUCGACAGAUAUAUGGAGAAUUCACAAUGCGAACAAAAAUACUUGCAG
Molecule: RNA transcript, 5359 nt
Organism: Stomoxys calcitrans (stable fly)
Lineage: Eukaryota; Metazoa; Arthropoda; Insecta; Diptera; Muscidae
Gene name: coilin
Exons: 2
Source: RefSeq, a predicted model, not a curated record